ACCACAAGGACAAGAGCUGCUCCCUCAUAACAGCAGAGCAGAGUGCUGGAAGAUGUGGCAGGCUGAAAAAACACCCACAAAGAUACAGUCACUUCCUGAUCAUCAAAACCCGUGAAUAUUAUCUCACGUGAAAAACAUGCGAUUAAGGAUUUUGACAGGAGGAGCUUAUCCUAGAUUAUCCUGACAGAUCCUAAAUGAGUUUUGAGAGAGACAGAGACAGACAGAUACAUACAUCCCCAGAAGACAGAUAGAAUGAAGUGCUGUGGCCAAGGAAUGCCAGCAGCCACCAGAAGCCUGUAUGAGGCAAGGGACAGAUUGUCCCAGAGCUUCCAGAGGGCGUAUGGCCCUACUGACACCUUGAUCUUGGACUUCCGGCCUCCAGAGCUGUCAACUGGGUGCACCUAGCCCUGACUUUUAAUUUGAAGUGACCCUAAGCAGUAGGGACAAUGGCAAGUUCUAUUCCAAGAGCUGUCCUCUCCAGCGUUCUAAAACAUUUCUAAGAUUUUUGGAUUGCCAAGCCAUAAUCAGUCUCUGGAAUGGAAUUAAGAAACCUCAACUCUUUAUUUCCUUUCCAAGUGAUUCUUAAGCACACAAAGUUUAAGGAAAAGCUGGACCAUUCUGACUGCACAAAAAUGCUAAAACGUCCAGUAGAAAUUUUUUAUAAAGCUGAAUUUCCAGCACUUUGAACAGUGUCUGGCACAUAGGAGUACAACUAAAAUGUGUUGAAUCUAUGAUGUAAAAAUGGAAUGACAGCAUUUAUUUAGCCACUCUUCUCAUUUCCCACAGAACAAGUACCUCUCUUGCUACUAAAGCAAAGGCAAGACUGCACCUAGGCAAUUCUCCUUAUCCAGGUAGAAGAAACUUUAUAACUACUUUACUCUCUAUGACAUGGAAAGAGCAAAAUUAAAGCCUAGCCUAUACACUU
Canis lupus familiaris (dog) is the source of this 925-nucleotide long non-coding RNA. RefSeq lists it as uncharacterized. NCBI's taxonomy places the organism in Eukaryota, Metazoa, Chordata, Mammalia, Carnivora, Canidae. The record is from RefSeq and is a predicted model, not a curated record. The transcript is spliced from 4 exons.